CGCGCCCCGCAGCGCCACCCAGCGGCAGCAGACGGAACGAGGGUGCUGGAAAUCCAAGCACUGGCGGAACCCGGCACCUCUGGACAGGAGACCCUUCAGUAGAACAAAUAACAGCAUAAGGAUUAGAGCUACAACAAGGACUCAAUUGAACAGCUGCCUAUAGACCACAGAGGGAUUCAAAGACAUCCAAGGAAUGCAAAAAAAAAUUUACUUUGAAGCACAGUUAAUUAGCACUGGGAAUUAGGUAAUGAAGGGCAACCCUUCCACCAUACAAAAGCAUUCAGGGUUCUUUUGAAGACCCUGACCUGGAGUUGCACCCUGACUUCAGUUCUUUGCGGGAAUGGGACCAGCUCUCAGAGUCUCCCAACUGGCUGCUAUUCGAUAUGCCAAGAACGUGGCCUAGAGGACUAGCAUACCUUCAGGGUUCUGGGAUUUCACAGCUCUGGAGCAUGUUAUAGUACAGGAUGAAAUGACCUGAGCAAAUGCAGUGCAGAAGGAUGUCUCCCCCGGAAACUGCAUGGAGAUGGAAAACUCACUGGCUGGACAAAGGGAAUAUUCUGUGACAACUCAGGCUCGCCUUUAAUUUACUAGUAUCGCACUAGUCCCCAUUUGUCUGAUUAUUGCAUGAACAUUCAAGGAAGCAUGGAUUGUUAUUGCUACAACACCAAUAACCACCAACAUUACAUUGAUUUUAAUAGGAAAUAUUUAAAAUGAUAACACAAAGCUACAAAUAUCCAUUUUAAAUACUAACUUUUCUCUUGACAAU
This is a long non-coding RNA of Hypanus sabinus (Atlantic stingray), 766 nucleotides long. RefSeq lists it as uncharacterized. Lineage: Eukaryota; Metazoa; Chordata; Chondrichthyes; Myliobatiformes; Dasyatidae. The record is from RefSeq and is a predicted model, not a curated record. The transcript is spliced from 4 exons.